GAGGUGCUUGCACCUUAUCUUAGCGGCGGACGGGUGAGUAAUGCUUAGGAAUCUGCCUAUUAGUGGGGGACAACAUUCCGAAAGGAAUGCUAAUACCGCAUACGUCCUACGGGAGAAAGCAGGGGAUCUUCGGACCUUGCGCUAAUAGAUGAGCCUAAGUCGGAUUAGCUAGUUGGUGGGGUAAAGGCCUACCAAGGCGACGAUCUGUAGCGGGUCUGAGAGGAUGAUCCGCCACACUGGGACUGAGACACGGCCCAGACUCCUACGGGAGGCAGCAGUGGGGAAUAUUGGACAAUGGGGGGAACCCUGAUCCAGCCAUGCCGCGUGUGUGAAGAAGGCCUUAUGGUUGUAAAGCACUUUAAGCGAGGAGGAGGCUACUGAGACUAAUACUCUUGGAUAGUGGACGUUACUCGCAGAAUAAGCACCGGCUAACUCUGUGCCAGCAGCCGCGGUAAUACAGAGGGUGCGAGCGUUAAUCGGAUUUACUGGGCGUAAAGCGUGCGUAGGCGGCUUUUUAAGUCGGAUGUGAAAUCCCCGAGCUUAACUUGGGAAUUGCAUUCGAUACUGGGAAGCUAGAGUAUGGGAGAGGAUGGUAGAAUUCCAGGUGUAGCGGUGAAAUGCGUAGAGAUCUGGAGGAAUACCGAUGGCGAAGGCAGCCAUCUGGCCUAAUACUGACGCUGAGGUACGAAAGCAUGGGGAGCAAACAGGAUUAGAUACCCUGGUAGUCCAUGCCGUAAACGAUGUCUACUAGCCGUUGGGGCCUUUGAGGCUUUAGUGGCGCAGCUAACGCGAUAAGUAGACCGCCUGGGGAGUACGGUCGCAAGACUAAAACUCAAAUGA
Molecule: ribosomal RNA, 840 nt
Filed under: Acinetobacter junii
Lineage: Bacteria; Pseudomonadati; Pseudomonadota; Gammaproteobacteria; Moraxellales; Moraxellaceae
Description: bacterial SSU rRNA
Rfam family: Bacterial small subunit ribosomal RNA
Source: RNAcentral